AAUCCCCAUUCAGCUGAUGUGUUAUAGUGAAUUCAAACAUGAAUACUUGCAAAGAUUGCAUUAUCACAUUACCCACUUCUACCUGUUUAAACAUUAUGAGGGAAAAGUAAUACCUGGUACUAUUUACAAAGCAGCAAAUGAAAGGGCAAAAUGUUCCCAUUUCUUGUGGAACUGACUGACCCUUGUUCUCGAAGAGAACAGUUUGCUGCUAAUAGGAAAAAUAAACAACAGAUGGCCUGGAGGGAACAGUUUUUCUUUUAAUGGGUUUUUAUUUAACAGAAAUCUCUGGUUUGAAAAAGGUCAUUGUUAGUUGGGAAUAGAGAACUACAAUAGUUCUUACCAGUUUAGAUUAACUGGUAAGAAAGACCACCAACCUCACAGGAUUGCUUUUGUGUCUGAAGAAAAGGCUAUGGACCAUCUCAGAGGACAGCUUUUAAAACCUGCGGAUCAGAAGGCUCCAGAGUGUAUGAAUUCAUUUGCCAAACAGAGAUGGAGAAGUAAAUUCCUGCUGAAAUUUCUCAAGCACCACCUGUUCCCCUCGUAAUUCCAGUUCCAAAUUACUACAGUUUGCCAACAGAAAUCAGAUAGAAGAAAUAGAAAAGGGCUACACGAUCGUACCCGAGGUUGUGUCAUCAGCAUCUUUCGUCAUAGAUCCAAGAGUAACUGUGUUAUCCUGCAUAUGGAUGGAAUGCUACAGUCAUUAGGCUGUAGGAUAGAUUUCAGGUACCAACUUUGUUUGAGAUAAUUUCUCUUGUGUCUUAGAAACUUCCCAAUUAAUGCGUCCUGGAAAAUAAUGUAUUUCAGAAAACUUACUGCUUAUUGGUAUUCCAAACAGCUCUGUUAUGAUGGCAUACUAGCAAAAAACACCCCUGGAUCAAAGAUCAAACACAAGGACGAAAAGCUUUACUACAGCCCACCUGGUUUUAUUACCAAAAUAUUCUCUAUUCAAAAAAGAAAAAGAAAAAAAAAACCACCAUUGUCACCUGAAAACAUUUUAGAUUAUAUGAGAAGACCAAAAACUGACAAAAAGACAAAUUCCUCAGAAUCCAUCUUGAUUCCACCUUUGCCAGGCACACAGCAAUUGAAUAUCAAAGUCAAAUCAGUAUCAAAAUUAACCGUAUUAUUCCAAUACUCAAUUAGCAUGCUAGCUGUAUUAUGCAUAACUUGAUUGGAAUGAUCCUUAUACACCAUUCACAAUUGUUUGAAAAUAUUAUGUUUCCACUUCAGACUAGUUACUGAGACUCCCACCUCUUUUUAUGUUGCCCGUCAAUACACUAGUCUUUUUUAAACAGAAAAAUCUUCAAUAAAUACAAGCAAGUACUGCCAUUUCUGCACAGCCAGCUAGUGUAUAAAUAUGUGUACUUACAAAACCCAGUAAUUUCCUAAACAUUCGAGUACACAUAAACCUGUAAGCAUUUGCAAAACAAAUUAAAAUGGAUGCAGAAAUGUUUGAUCAGCACAACAUUAGAUUUUUACAAAUGCUCACAGACACUUCAUUUUGCUAUUAAGUUACCUACAUUUCUGUGCAUUACAUUGCCAAAUGGUAACAUUAGUUGUCUCUGAAGCAGUUUUCAGAGACAAUAUGGGGAAGCUAUAAUUAUAGCUAUGUCAAAGGGAUGAAAAGCAAAUGAAACAGAAACAGGAAGGGAUGUUUCCUUAGAUGCUAUUAUUUCUCAUAGGGAUAAUGAUCACAUACUAAUAUACAUAAAAGGUCAAAUAUUUUGGGUUUUGAACACUACUAAUGUACUGAAAUAAGGUAUUAGUUCAGUUGGUUAAAGCAGGAUGCUAAUAAUGCCAAGGUAAUGGGUUCAAUCUCUAUACAGGAUAUUCUCUUGGGAGUUGGACUUGAUGAUCCUUGUUGAUCCCUUCCAACUCAGAAUAUUCUCUGUGUGAUAUGUCAGCCGUUCAAGUAGCUUACAUAUAUUUAUAGUAAAUCAAAAUUUCAUCUUGAUUUCCAUUCCUUUCCCCACAAAUUAUACACUCUCCAAAUCAGCUGCCUAUUACCACAAAUAAAAAGGAAUAAACUGUAGCAAUAUGAACACAGUAACUUCAGGUUUAGUUUUGCAAGUGGCAUUGCAUUUUCAUUCUUGCUAAUACUGGGGUUUAGAUAAUGCUCUAUCUUGGUGCUUUAAUCUGUUCUUGAAGGAGCUGUCAAUCAGCCAGUUUACCUUUGUACUGGUUGGGUCCAGCUAGCACAUGCAGACAAUAAAUACAGAGAAAAGCAGAAAGAAAACCCCUUCAGAAAAACUGGAACUUCAAAGCAUUAAAUCAUCCUCACAAAUUUUAAAAUAAAGAUGCACAGAACUACAGUAUAUUUCAUCUGGAGUUGCAUACAGAGGGACAAAUUCAUCCUUAGACUCCUAAGCAGUUUCAGUGUAAAUUGCUCCUUCAUAUAUCUAAGCUCAAACUGUGGGUCGUAACUGGUUCAUACUCAUUCAGUAUUUUUGUCUUUGAAAGUGUUGUCCUGAUAAAAUUCCAAGAGUCCUCAGAACAAACUGUUGCCAUUAUGACAGCCAGCACUGACCUCCUAUUCAUUAAUCAAGAAAUAAAAUCUUUUGUAUUUUUAAUCAAAUUAUCAUCUUGUUUGAUGAAUUUGAUUCUACGACUGUUAUUAACUAAGGUGCUUUCUGACUUGACAGCAUUUUCAAUUUACAAGUUUCAGAAGAUUUCAGAUCCACUGGAAAUACUAUGAGUAAUCUUCAACACUCCUUUUACCUUUUAAAUUUGUAACACUACUGAUUUACUUUGGCUAAGAAAUAGAAAAUAUAUUGUCUUUACAAAUUAAAAUACAGUGGAAAAAAAAGAAAAUCAUGGCUCUAUCUACUAAGACUCAGAGUUUUCUCCUCCUUGUCAUACUAGGUUUCUUAGUUGAAUAGGACAUUACUUCAGAAGAUUAUGUAACUUUAUUAUUAUUACACCUCUUUUGUUUCCUCUGUUAAUUACAUUGUGUCAGCAUUUCUGUUUUCAGUUCAAAGGCUUAAAAUGAAAAAAAAUCUUUAUGAAAUCCAUAAUUGUUAAUAAAAAUUAGUGAAAACAAAGAAACAAAAAAUCUAGAUAGCAGAUUGAGGAAGAUCUUUGUGCAAUAAACUUUUUUCUUUUUCUUUAGCAAUAUUCAGUAGUAUCAUUUUACCAAACAAAUUAAUAUUCUUAGAAACCUGACUAACUAAAAAAAAAAAAACCAAACCAAACAAACAAACAAAGUACAUAAAAGUCCAGCAAGCCAUUAGCCUAUAAUAUUUGGACAGAAUUUUCCAAUAUUAGAAUAUAUACUAUCACAUUUUUUGUGUAAGUUAUGUUUGUUUGCCUUUCUACACUUUUCUUUCAAUCAGCAAGAACUAUAAGUAGUUCUCUGGUUUAAGUGUUUGUUCCAACUCAAAGCAAAAAAAAAAAAAAGUCAAAUAUUUGUAAGCUAGAAACAUUUGUAAGGUAGAACACAAUCAGAAUUAUAAUUUCCCACCUUUUUUUUUUUUUUUUUACUAUUACAGACAAACAUUCAUACACUCUAGAGAAACAGUAAGGUAGAACAGAAAAGAAACCAACUCUAAUUGUAUUUCCAAUUCUGGAUAGAAUUGAUUUUUCCAUUUCUGUCUAGCCAAAAUACUUGUACUUCCCCUCUGGUACAAACAGGACUCAUGCUGCCCUUAAUCACACUUGUGAUACAUAGAAAGAACCUUGAUAUUCCCAGCCCAAAAAGAAAAAAAAAAUGAAUAAAAAAAGGUCUUACAGAAAUAUUAUCCACCUUCUAGAUCUCAUCUAGAUUUAAUGGAAUUAUAGAUUUAAUGGAAUGUGUAUUGAGCACUGGUUUAAAGUCUGAAAUAAAAAUACACACCACCCUCCCAUACUUAGGACCUGAUUAUGACCAUUAAUAUGUGGUGUCUUCCCUCUUUGAUUUAGUGCUUUCACAGACCAAACUUUCUGAGGCCUUUGUGUCUGUGAAAUUCAUCCCGGAGAAUUUUAGGAAUAUAUAAAAUAGUAUGUAAUUUUCAGAAACCCGGAAAUAUUGUUAGAGCUACGCUGAAGUAUCUGUGCUGCUGCCACAUCAAUGGCGUAGUGCACACAUGCAGUCAGUCUGUAACUUCCUGAAAGCAUCCAAUUUUCUGUGCCUUCUCUGUACAUGUGUUUUGUACAGUUGCAAUGAAAAUUAAAAUUAUGUGCAAAGUAAAAAAUAUCUGUAGAUUAUAAGCAGUAGAUUUUAUGCUUUUUGUCAAAGACUUCUCUUCAAAAUAAUCAUGAAGAAAAAUACAGAUGUCUUUCAUUAACUACACUGAGUUACUCAGUUGCCCCUUGCAUCUGACAUGGCAAAUAAGGCUCUUCAGGCUGACUUUGAAAAAGUCAUCCUCAGAGCAUCUCCAGGAGACCAUGAUACCAAGUUCUCCAGCCUGUUAAGCCGAUAUCAUGAUGUCUGACAUGUAAAUAAUUUCUUAAUUGUUGAUGAUAGGAGGAAAAAUAUUCUCAAAUGUCUAAGACUAGUUAAUUGUCAAAUGUUUCUGCCUUCAUAAUUUUCCCAUUUUUUCUAAUUGCAGUUCUAAUACAGAUCUUAAUUAAUGGAAGGUGAUUAAAUGGUUUGAAAAAGACACAGGGUAUGAAUACAAUUUCGGUCACUCACAUGAUUGACAGUUCUUCCAAUGGCUCUUAUCUCUCAAAAAAGCAGCCUGAGUUCACCAGCACAAAUCAACUUUUACCCCAGAAACUAAUAGACAUUGCAGUGCUUGGCAAGAUAUGUCAGCUUGGGCACAGAACAACACUACUGUUACCUGUGUGUCUUCCAAGAUGGAGCUUGCACACCUCUGGCUGACUCAAAGCUUGAAGGUUAUUAGAUUCCAGUAGACUCAGAUCAUGAUACCUUGGUACCACAAGGUGCUUAUAGUCAAAUUUAUCCUGUCGAGAUAUUGUCUCAUGGAAGUCUCAUGAAGAUCUCCAUUAGUUUCCAUGGAAAACAAAACUAAAUUAACAAAUUUCUUUCAUGAAGUAGAUUUUGAGUACAGAGGCACAUUCUUCCUGUUAGAGAUCCCUCCUAUUGUGUUUUCAGAUUUUUAAAGGCAGAGUGGUCUUAGCAGAAAAAUAUCACCAGAAAUUACCUCCUGGAAAACAGACUACACAGGUAUGACUUAGGAGACCCAGUAAUUGGAUGAAGAGCUUUUUUGUUUUUUAAAAUACAUCAGCUUUCCAUUCAAGGACAAUAAUUAGUCGGGAGAGGCUGAUGCUGGGGAAGUUGAAGGGAGGCAUGACUUUUGAGACAUGACAGGUGGAACAAAGAUCUCUAACAUCUUGAGAAGCUGUAAAAUGCUACUCAUGGUGUUUUUAAUGUGUAGAACAUAUGCUUUAGGACUGUUACAAGAAAUCAUGUAUUCUUUCUUUACAAACCUGUAAAAACACAAAAUCCAUUAAGACAGGGACUCAUUUGACCUCCAGGUAAUUUGAAUAUAAAAGAAGUACUACAGGCUUCCUGGUCCUCCUAUGUGUAACUCUGGCUGAAUAGCAAUUUUAUCUUGAAGUAAUUCAAUUAUAUUACAAAUAAGAACUAGAAUUAAAAUAUAAUGAUUUAAUAUAACUGAUUAAUAAAGUAUUGCAAGUGCAAUUACAAUACAGUCAGAGUACGUCAAGUCAACCAGUCUGCAGCACAAUCAAAAACCAUA
This is a long non-coding RNA of Pseudopipra pipra, 5636 nucleotides long. RefSeq lists it as uncharacterized. Lineage: Eukaryota; Metazoa; Chordata; Aves; Passeriformes; Pipridae. The transcript is spliced from 5 exons. The record is from RefSeq and is a predicted model, not a curated record.